ACAGGGAGGACAGGUGGUGCAUGGUUGUCGUCAGCUCGUGUCGUGAGAUGUUGGGUUAAGUCCCGCAACGAGCGCAACCCCUACGUUUAGUUGCUAACGCGUGAAGGCGAGCACUCUAGACGAACUGCCGUUGACAAAACGGAGGAAGGUGGGGAUGACGUCAAAUCAUCAUGCCCCUUAUGUUCUGGGCUACACACGUGCUACAAUGGCCGGUACAGACGGACGCAAAGCCGCGAGGUGGAGCAAAUCCUAAAAAGACCGGUCUCAGUUCGGAUUGCAGGCUGCAAUUCGCCUGCAUGAAGUCGGAAUCGCUAGUAAUCGCAGGUCAGCAUACUGCGGUGAAUACGUUCCCGGGCCCGUU
This 361-nucleotide ribosomal RNA is filed under the name uncultured Pelotomaculum sp. Its description in RNAcentral is "bacterial SSU rRNA". It matches the Rfam family "Bacterial small subunit ribosomal RNA", at positions 1025 to 1380 of the family's 1533-position model. Lineage: Bacteria; Bacillati; Bacillota; Clostridia; Eubacteriales; Desulfotomaculaceae. The record is from RNAcentral.